CUCUAUUAAAGGAAAAUAGCCCCUCCA
RNAcentral lists this transfer RNA (27 nucleotides) under Gloydius ussuriensis (Ussuri mamushi). RNAcentral describes it as "partial tRNA-Leu". Lineage: Eukaryota; Metazoa; Chordata; Lepidosauria; Squamata; Viperidae. The record is from RNAcentral.